This 71-nucleotide transfer RNA is filed under the name Fukomys damarensis (Damara mole-rat). It matches the Rfam family "tRNA". Rfam says of the family: Transfer RNA (tRNA) molecules are approximately 80 nucleotides in length. Their secondary structure includes four short double-helical elements and three loops (D, anti-codon, and T loops). Further hydrogen bonds mediate the characteristic L-shaped molecular structure. tRNAs have two regions of fundamental functional importance: the anti-codon, which is responsible for specific mRNA codon recognition, and the 3' end, to which the tRNAs corresponding amino acid is attached (by aminoacyl-tRNA synthetases). tRNAs cope with the degeneracy of the genetic code in two manners: having more than one tRNA (with a specific anti-codon) for a particular amino acid; and 'wobble' base-pairing, i.e. permitting non-standard base-pairing at the 3rd anti-codon position. The record is from Rfam by way of RNAcentral. Lineage: Eukaryota; Metazoa; Chordata; Mammalia; Rodentia; Bathyergidae.
GAAAGUGUAGCUCAGUGGUAUAGCACUUGCCUAGCAUGCAUGAGGCCUGGGUUUGAUUUCCAGCACCUUAA